This 539-nucleotide ribosomal RNA is filed under the name uncultured archaeon. Its description in RNAcentral is "bacterial SSU rRNA". It matches the Rfam family "Archaeal small subunit ribosomal RNA", at positions 65 to 588 of the family's 1478-position model. The record is from RNAcentral.
GCACGCGCCGGCUCCGGCGGACGGCUCAGUAACACGUGGCUAACCUACCCUCGGGAGGGGGAUAACCCCGGGAAACUGGGGAUAAUCCCCCAUAGGUGUAGACUUCUGGAAUGGGUCUACGCCGAAAGGGCUACGGCACCAUCCCUGCCGUAGCCGCCCGAGGAUGGGGCUGCGGCCUAUCAGGUAGCUGGCGGGGUAACGGCCCGCCAAGCCUAUAACGGGUAGGGGCCGUGAGAGCGGGAGCCCCGAGAUGGGCACUGAGACAAGGGCCCAGGCCCUACGGGGUGCACCAGGGGCGAAACUUCCGCAAUGCGGGAAACCGUGACGGAGUCACCCCGAGUGCCACCCGAUGAGGGUGGCUUUUGCCCGGUCUAAAAAGCCGGGCGAAUAAGCGGGGGGCAAGCUUGGUGUCAGCCGCCGCGGUAAUACCAACCCCGCGAGUGGUCGGGACGUUUAUUGGGCCUAAAGCGUCCGUAGCCGGCCCGGUAAGUCCCUCCUUAAAGCCCACGGCUCAACCGUGGGAGCGGAGGGAUACUGCC